UGGAUAAGAGUCCAUUUUAUGCCUUUUGG
Molecule: non-coding RNA, 29 nt
Filed under: Mus musculus (house mouse)
Lineage: Eukaryota; Metazoa; Chordata; Mammalia; Rodentia; Muridae
Source: RNAcentral